GGUGAACGCUGGCGGUAGGCCUAACACAUGCAAGUCGAACGGCAGCACAGGAGAGCUUGCUCUCUGGGUGGCGAGUGGCGGACGGGUGAGGAAUACAUCGGAAUCUACUCUGUCGUGGGGGAUAACGUAGGGAAACUUACGCUAAUACCGCAUACGACCUACGGGUGAAAGCAGGGGACCUUCGGGCCUUGCGCGAUUGAAUGAGCCGAGGGCGGAUUAGCUAGUUGGCGGGGUAAAGGCCCACCAAGGCGACGAUCCGUAGCUGGUCUGAGAGGAUGAUCAGCCACACUGGAACUGAGACACGGUCCAGACUCCUACGGGAGGCAGCAGUGGGGAAUAUUGGACAAUGGGCGCAAGCCUGAUCCAGCCAUACCGCGUGGGUGAAGAAGGCCCUCGGGUUGUAAAGCCCUUUUGUUGGGAAAGGAAUCCAGCUGGCUAAUACCCGGUUGGGAUGACGGUACCCAAAGAAUAAGCACCGGCUAACUUCGUGCCAGCAGCCGCAGUAA
RNAcentral lists this ribosomal RNA (506 nucleotides) under uncultured bacterium. RNAcentral's name for it is "partial 16S ribosomal RNA". It matches the Rfam family "Bacterial small subunit ribosomal RNA", at positions 28 to 523 of the family's 1533-position model. The record is from RNAcentral.